UACAGAGGUCCCGAGCGUUGUUCGGAUUCACUGGGCGUAAAGGGUGCGUAGGUGGGUUGGUAAGUCAGUGGUGAAAUCUCCAGGCUUAACUUGGAAACUGCCAUUGAUACUAUCAAUCUUGAAUACCGUGGAGGUCAGCGGAAUAUGUCAUGUAGCGGUGAAAUGCUUAGAUAUGACAUAGAACACCAAUUGCGAAGGCAGCUGGCUACACGAAUAUUGACACUGAUGCACGAAAGCGUGGGGAUCAAACAGG
Molecule: ribosomal RNA, 253 nt
Filed under: uncultured bacterium
Lineage: Bacteria
Description: partial 16S ribosomal RNA
Rfam family: Bacterial small subunit ribosomal RNA
Source: RNAcentral